CCAGAGAUGGAUUGGUGCCUUCGGGAACUUAGAUACAGGUGCUGCAUGGCUGUCGUCAGCUCGUGUCGUGAGAUGUUGGGUUAAGUCCCGNAACGAGCGCAACCCUUUUCCUUAUUUGCCAGCGGGUCAUGCCGGGAACUUUAAGGAUACUGCCAGUGACAAACUGGAGGAAGGCGGGGACGACGUCAAGUCAUCAUGGCCCUUACGGCCAGGGCUACACACGUGCUACAAUGGUCGGUACAAAGGGUUGCUACCUCGCGAGAGGAUGCUAAUCUCAAAAAGCCGAUCGUAGUCCGGAUCGCAGUCUGCAACUCGACUGCGUGAAGUCGGAAUCGCUAGUAAUCGCGGAUCAGAAUGCCGCGGUGAAUACGUUCCCGGGCCUUGUACACACCGCCCGUCACACCAUGGGAGUUUGUUGCACCAGAAGUAGGUAGUCUAACCGCAAGGAGGACGCUUACCACGGUGUGGCCGAUGACUGGGGUGAAGUCGUAACAAGGUAGGCGUAGAUGA
This 510-nucleotide ribosomal RNA is filed under the name uncultured bacterium. RNAcentral's name for it is "bacterial SSU rRNA". It matches the Rfam family "Bacterial small subunit ribosomal RNA", at positions 1000 to 1509 of the family's 1533-position model. The record is from RNAcentral.